AGUCGAACGAUGAGCAGGAGCUUGCUUCUGUGAUUAGUGGCGAACGGGUGAGUAACACGUGAGUAACCUGCCCCUGACUCUGGGAUAAGCGUUGGAAACGACGUCUAAUACUGGAUAUGACUUCCGGCCGCAUGGUCUGGUUGUGGAAAGAUUUUUUGGUUGGGGAUGGACUCGCGGCCUAUCAGCUUGUUGGUGAGGUAAUGGCUCACCAAGGCGACGACGGGUAGCCGGCCUGAGAGGGUGACCGGCCACACUGGGACUGAGACACGGCCCAGACUCCUACGGGAGGCAGCAGUGGGGAAUAUUGCACAAUGGGCGAAAGCCUGAUGCAGCAACGCCGCGUGAGGGAUGACGGCCUUCGGGUUGUAAACCUCUUUUAGUAGGGAAGAAGCGAAAGUGACGGUACCUGCAGAAAAAGCACCGGCUAACUACGUGCCAGCAGCCGCGGUAAUACGUAGGGUGCAAGCGUUGUCCGGAAUUAUUGGGCGUAAAGAGCUCGUANGCGGUUUGUCGCGUCUGCUGUGAAAUCCCGAGGCUCAACCUCGGGCUUGCAGUGGGUACGGGCAGACUAGAGUGCGGU
Molecule: ribosomal RNA, 580 nt
Filed under: bacterium 50-L049616-122-011-B07
Lineage: Bacteria
Description: bacterial SSU rRNA
Rfam family: Bacterial small subunit ribosomal RNA
Source: RNAcentral